UACAGAGGUCUCAAGCGUUGUUCGGAUUCAUUGGGCGUAAAGCGUCCGCAGGUGGCAGUUCAAGUCUGCUGUCAAAGACCGGGGCUUAACUUCGGAAAGGCAGUGGAAACUGAACAGCUAGAGUAUGGUAGGGGCAGAGGGAAUUCCUGGUGUAGCGGUGAAAUGCGUAGAGAUCAGGAAGAACAUCGGUGGCGAAGGCGCUCUGCUGGACCAUAACUGACACUCAGGGACGAAAGCUAGGGGAGCGAAUGGG
This 253-nucleotide ribosomal RNA is filed under the name uncultured bacterium. RNAcentral describes it as "partial 16S ribosomal RNA". It matches the Rfam family "Bacterial small subunit ribosomal RNA", at positions 524 to 776 of the family's 1533-position model. The record is from RNAcentral.